This is a long non-coding RNA of Zonotrichia albicollis (white-throated sparrow), 2072 nucleotides long. The record is from Ensembl. Lineage: Eukaryota; Metazoa; Chordata; Aves; Passeriformes; Passerellidae.
AACAACUGUCACCCGGGUGCGUUUGUCACCUGGAGUGUUCCUGGAGUGUCCCUGGAGUGUCCCCGGAGUGUCCCCAGCGCCAAUGGAGACCUGCAAGGUGGACCCGUUCCCGCUGGAGGUUCUGGUGUCUGUGGUGGCCACCCUGGGCGAGGUGGCGGCCACUGUGACCGGGCCACACAGGGGAGUGUGGCGGUAUGUGCCCCCAGAGACCCUGCACGCGACCCUGAGGAACUUCACCUGGAGCCUCCGUAAGACCCUGGAACACCCCGGUGUCACCUCCUUGAGCCGGGCUCUGGCCGCCCUUGGGGCUACGCCAGGAGUCACCUGGGCUGAUGUGAGAGCCCUGGCCAGUGCCUGGCGGGAGUUGGUGGCUGCACUCAAUGGCACCUGGGCUCAGCUGGCCUGGGAUGCUGCUGAGCUCUAUGACGCCUGCUGGAACACGGCCAUUGCCACCACUCGGGCCAGAGACCAGCAGGCCAAGGGCACCCGCAGGGGGACAGCUGAGAGCAACCUGGUGGCCACGGCCCAGCAGCUGAUGGGGGCAUUGAAGAGUGAGAAAGCGGCCUUGGCAAUAACUGCGCACGAGGCCCAGGGGGCUGUGGCCACCAACAAGGCCAUGGGAGAGGCUGUGGUGGCCACCAGGCAGGUGAGGGCGGCCACCAGAAGGAGAGAUUGGGCAGAGGUGGCCCUGGAGCUGCUGCAGCUCUUGGUGGAAGCGUGUGACAGGGCCACACGCAUUUUUUUCCUCUGGGAGCUGCAGGAUCGGCUCUGGGACAUCAAAGUCAACCUAGAGGGGACAGAGGAGGCGCCCCUCGAUAUUCCUGAGGCCUUGGUGUCCAAAGUGUCCAAGUUUGAGCAGCUGUGGGAGGCCAGCAGCCGCCUGUUCAAGCGUCACCUGCUGGGGACACUUGGGGACAUCCACGACCUCCUCUUGAGUCCCUAUGGUGGCCGCGGUGGCCCUGAUGGCCCUGGCAGCCGUGCGGUGGCUGAGCGGUGCCAAAAAGCCAUCGAGGACAUCCCAAGGCUGCUUCAAGAGAGUGACGUCACCACCGCAAUGUCAUCACGGCAGUGACAUCACUGGGGACAUCACUGCUGUCACCUGUCCCCUCUGCCCUCCCAAUGUGGGAUUGGAGAUAAAUUUGAGGAAUUUUCUGGGAAUUUUCAUUGAUACUGCUCCAAAUCCUGAUGGGAUGUUCCUGGGGUGACAUCACUGGGGACACUCAGGGACACGUGGGGAGGACACACAGGGACACUCUGGGGACACUCAGGGACAGGGACAGGGGUGAAUGAGUCCCCUCAGCAGCUUCAAGCUUUCCACUGUGCCUGCAGCAGAGCUGGGUCAUAAACAACAAUUUAAUAAUUGGAUGCUGCAAUUCUGCAUUGGCUGCUGCAAUUCUGUAUUGGCUUUGGCAAAAAAAUACCGCCACAGUUAUUUUGUUCUGGUACUUGAUUAUUGAUUAUUGAUAAUUCCUUGUAGCUGCUUGCUGGUACGAUAUAAUUGAUCAGUUUAUGUAAGCACCGUGUAACCGAUUUAAUGCUGGAGUGAUAAAUCAGUAUAUCAUAAGCAUUAAAAUAUUAAAAUAGAUAAAUAUUAAAGAGAUAAAUAGUAAAUAUUAAAAUAGGGACUAUGCAAUGUUAAAAUGCUUUUGUGUAACUGACUCAGGUGUAAAACAAUUCCCUUGUUUCUCACACCUAGGUUCGGCCUCUCCAGGUGAUGACAACAGUGACACAAACCUGAGAAGAAUUUAUUAAUUGAUCAGGUGUUGUUAAACAACAUGAUGGAAUCAGGAGAAGAAAUCAAAUAUAUUGACCUAAUCUACAGAAUGUCCUGCAGACAAGUCAGAGGUUAAAACCGAACAAGAGUUCCUGGAACAUCCAAACCUCCCAGGAAUGUUUGAAUAAUGUCUAAACUCAGGAAUGUGUUUGUAGCCCUGCAGUGGAAUUGGAUCUGGAGAAUGAUGGGUUAAGUUAAGGGCAAAUUCUUUGACCAAGCACCAAAAGCCUUUUUUAUUCCUUAUAUAAACUUUUACAACUUUAAAAGAGUGAACUUUGUUCUUCACACACGGCUGUGA